This 77-nucleotide microRNA precursor is filed under the name Stegodyphus mimosarum. Its description in RNAcentral is "mir-137 microRNA precursor family". It matches the Rfam family "mir-137 microRNA precursor family". Lineage: Eukaryota; Metazoa; Arthropoda; Arachnida; Araneae; Eresidae. The record is from Rfam by way of RNAcentral.
GUUGAUCAUGUGUAUUCCUGGGUAAAUAACAUUUAUUUAUUUAACCAUGUUAUUGCUUGAGAAUACACGUGGUCGAC